RNAcentral lists this unclassified non-coding RNA (725 nucleotides) under Hevea brasiliensis (rubber tree). The record is from RNAcentral. Lineage: Eukaryota; Viridiplantae; Streptophyta; Magnoliopsida; Malpighiales; Euphorbiaceae.
AAUGGCAGUGUUCCUUGGUUCAAUGAAGGGCCUGCGAGUUGGUCUUAAUUUGGCCUUGGCUAUUGCUUUGCACAACAUUCCAGAGGGUGUUGCUGUUGCAUUGCCUGUCUAUUUUGCAACACAAAGCAAGUGGCAGGCAUUCAAAUUGGCAACACUUUCUGGUUUUGCAGAACCACUCGGUGUUGUUCUUGUAGCAUAUCUAUUUCCGAGCAGCUUAAAUCCUGAAAUUCUUGAGGGUCUGCUAGGAUCAGUUGGUGGGGUAAUGGCUUUCCUAACUUUGCAUGAAAUGCUGCCAUUGGCUUUCGAUUAUGCGGGGCAGAAGCAAGCCGUUAAGGCUGUAUUCCUUGGUAUGGCUUUCAUGUCAGCAAGUCUAUAUUUUCUUGAAAUCAGCUUACCUGAGGAGUUGAGUUUGUAACCAUCAACCACAAUGAUGUGCAUUCUAAAACCACUGUACUCAGAUCGGACACAGCACGAUUUGAUCUCAUCGGAGGGCCAAGAAGACACUGAUGUCCUAGAAGGCUAGAACAAAUGCUGCUUUAUUGUUAGUCAAUACCUUACCGUUUUAUUUGCCUUUCUAAUUUCCUCCAAGUAAUAGGAAAAUGUAAGGGGGUUGGCAAAGAAAAGGGGGGAAAAACUAUGAAGCUCAUUGAUCAGCAGCUCUUAAAAGUAAAUAAUAAGUUCAGUGAAAUGAUGAGAUUCAUAGUUUUUCCCCCCUUUUCUGUGCC